CUACGGGCCGCUGCAGUGGGGAAUAUUGCACAAUGGAGGAAACUCUGAUGCAGCAACGCCGCGUGGAGGAUGACACUUUUCGGAGCGUAAACUCCUUUUAUAUAGGAAGAAGAUGACGGUACUAUAUGAAUAAGCGCCGGCUAACUCCGUGCCAGCAGCCGCGGUAAUACGGAGGGCGCAAGCGUUACUCGGAAUCACUGGGCGUAAAGAGCGUGUAGGCGGAUUAAAAAGUCAGAAGUGAAAUCCUAUAGCUUAACUAUAGAACUGCUUCUGAAACUCUUAAUCUAGAAUAUGGGAGAGGUAGAUGGAAUUUCUGGUGUAGGGGUAAAACCCGUAGAGAUCAGAAGGAAUACCGAUUGCGAAGGCGAUCUACUAGGACAUUAUUGACGCUGAGACGCGAAAGCGUGGGGAGCAAACAGGAUUAGAUACCCGAGUAGUC
Molecule: ribosomal RNA, 439 nt
Filed under: uncultured bacterium
Lineage: Bacteria
Description: partial 16S ribosomal RNA
Rfam family: Bacterial small subunit ribosomal RNA
Source: RNAcentral